RNAcentral lists this long non-coding RNA (1066 nucleotides) under Capra hircus (goat). RNAcentral's name for it is "lncRNA (ENSCHIG00010020903.1)". The record is from RNAcentral. Lineage: Eukaryota; Metazoa; Chordata; Mammalia; Artiodactyla; Bovidae.
UUCCAGUCCAUGUUCCUGGCUACAGGAGAAGGCAGAACAGUGAAGCAGAGGGAUGAGACCAUUGCUACCUACUGUCUACACUGCGUUACAACAGGUGCGAGACCUUACAGAAGGCCAACCCUGGGUUGUCAAGCACUGCAGAAAAACCACUGCUGGGGGCCUAUAACAGGUGUGUGCAAAAUAAAGACCCACCAUGGAUAUCAACAUUGGCCGAGGACCGCAAAGUCCAGGAGUGGGCUGGUAAAGAUGCCAUCCAUCGGCAUUUCCACAGCCUUACAACCCCACCGCUGCCAGGCUAAUGGAAAAGAUGAACGGAGUACUGAAUGAUUGAAGCAGGAAACCCAUGUUCUCAACCUGUGGCCAGGAGGCUGAUUCAAGCCCUGCGAACUGUAACCAAACAUCUCAGGGCAUCGUCCCACCCAUUGUCUACUCCUUGUUCACCCAGAGUCAAUACCAUCUGAAUUCAACUCUUAACCACCAAAGGAUCCAAAGGUUGCCAACUAUCAGUCAAGACAACAGCUCACUUUUGCCUACAGGAUCUCCCCCCAGAGGGGCACAUUAUAAACGACCUGGGACUGGCAGGGGAGCAGUCAAAUCCAGCAGGCAUCUGGGACCUCAUUCUGUCUCUCCACUGAGUCUGUCUCACUUCCUGGAAAAGCAAAUCAUCAGGAACCACUUCCUCCCUGGACCAAACAUCAAGAGCAUCCUUGACAACACGCACCGGUUCUGGCUGCCGACAGACCUUUUCAGAUGGGACGAACUUCCAAUCAAUUCUCAUUUCUUCCAGGCAUCUUUGCUGAGUGGAAGAGAAGUGCAACAGAGAAAAAAGCUCAGUAAUGGCAGGACCCCAGAUUUGACCAAGGUGGCAAAAUAUCCAGCCUGUUAAUAAAACAGAUUAAUAAAUUCUGUAAUUUCCAUCUUCUGGUUGAGCAAUAAAACCACAAAGUAAAAUAACAACAAAGCCCAAGAGAUUAUAUGUUUUUAUGGGCAAAGCGAUUAUACGAUUUUAUGGGCAAAGUGUGGAGAAGGCGAUGGCACCCCACUCCAGUACUCUUGCCUGGAAAAU